UACGGAGGAUCCGAGCGUUAUCCGGAUUUAUUGGGUUUAAAGGGUGCGUAGGCGGCCUUGUAAGUCAGGGGUGAAAGACGGUAGCUCAACUAUCGCAGUGCCCUUGAUACUGCAGGGCUUGAAUACACUAGAGGUAGGCGGAAUGUGACAAGUAGCGGUGAAAUGCAUAGAUAUGUCACAGAACACCGAUUGCGAAGGCAGCUUACUAUGGUGCAAUUGACGCUGAGGCACGAAAGCGUGGGGAUCAAACAGG
RNAcentral lists this ribosomal RNA (253 nucleotides) under uncultured bacterium. Its description in RNAcentral is "partial 16S ribosomal RNA". It matches the Rfam family "Bacterial small subunit ribosomal RNA", at positions 524 to 776 of the family's 1533-position model. The record is from RNAcentral.